AAGCGUGCGCAGGCGGUUAUGUAAGACAGAUGUGAAAUCCCCGGGCUCUAACCUGGGAACUGCAUUUGUGACUGCAUGGCUAGAGUACGGUAGAGGGGGAUGGAAUUCCGCGUGUAGCAGUGAAAUGCGUAGAUAUGCGGAGGAACACCGAUGGCGAAGGCAAUCCCCUGGACCUGUACUGACGCUCAUGCACGAAAGCGUGGGGAGCAAACAGGAUUAGAUACCCUAGU
Molecule: ribosomal RNA, 230 nt
Filed under: uncultured bacterium
Lineage: Bacteria
Description: partial 16S ribosomal RNA
Rfam family: Bacterial small subunit ribosomal RNA
Source: RNAcentral